GCGGUGCCAUGGCGACGGCCCGGGGGCGGCGGGCGCGGCGGGCGCGGCCAGGUAGGCUCCGGGGAGAGCCUGGAGGGGCGGGAAGCUGGGCGAGGAGGGUAUGCGGGCCUGCGCUGCGAUCGCGCAGCGCCUGCGUGGUUUCCAGGCGCUUGCUUUCUAGCGACUCCACGAUGCAGACCAAGUAAAGGGAAAGAGAAGACCUUUCUGGGGCCAACGUUCUCUAACGCGUUGACCGCUCACAUUCCGAAAAACCCUUGGACACUUCACCUCCACAGAGAAAGCCCAUCUGGAAGAAAACUAAGACAAGGGCCCUUCAAGGAGUACGGUCUUACUGGAACACUUUCACGCCGAUUGCUCAGGCUCCAAACCUCUAGCCUGUGGCUACUCUACGGGGAGGAGAAAGCCUGCCUUUUGGCUGGAAGUUUUAUUUAUUAAUUUAUUUGAGAGAGAGACUGAGAGAGAGCACAAGCAGGAGGCGCGGAGAGGAAGAAGCAGGCCCCUCAUGGAGAAGGGAGACUGACCCGGGGCUCGAUCCCAGGAUCCUGGGAUCACGACCUGAGCCAAAGGCAGACACUUAACCGACUGAGCUACCAAGGUGCCCCUCUAUAUUUUUUUCAGUUAAUACAUGACGAAUUCAACAGGAAAAUUAUUUUGAAACCUGGAAUAUGUUCUGUCGUAAAUGAAAAAGACUACUUCACCAGAGACUGGAAGGUAACAUGCCAAUUUGAAAACAGCGGGUUGGAAUGGUGGGAACACUGUCAUGGUUUAAUACUGUAUCAUCUCAUGGGACGUAAGAACAAAAUGUGGCAAGUACCAGGUGAAGUUUGUCCCCUUCGAUCCAAUGGGUCCAGCCUCGGUUCUUCUUCUCCCCCUUCUGGACACAGGUGAGUCUGUCAUUGUCCCAGGUGACCAGGCUCUGCAUGAGAGAGGGGAGAAGAGGCUGGUUUGCCCUGGCAGACUCCUCAACGGGUACUAAGAAGGCCCAGUUAAUCUUGCAAAAUCAAGAGCCUGUGUUAUCAUUUGAAUUUUUUUUUUUUUACCUUGCAUUUCCUGUUAUCCAGGCCUUUAUUAUCCUCAUCAAAUUCUUCUCCAACUUUAAAUGUAACAAAGUAGUU
This is a long non-coding RNA of Mirounga angustirostris (Northern elephant seal), 1115 nucleotides long. RefSeq lists it as uncharacterized. The transcript has 3 exons. NCBI's taxonomy places the organism in Eukaryota, Metazoa, Chordata, Mammalia, Carnivora, Phocidae. The record is from RefSeq and is a predicted model, not a curated record.